This 543-nucleotide ribosomal RNA is filed under the name uncultured Acidobacteriota bacterium. RNAcentral's name for it is "bacterial SSU rRNA". It matches the Rfam family "Bacterial small subunit ribosomal RNA", at positions 8 to 581 of the family's 1533-position model. The record is from RNAcentral. Lineage: Bacteria; Pseudomonadati; Acidobacteriota.
AGAGUUUGAUCAUGGCUCAGAAUCAACGCUGGCGGCGUGCCUAACACAUGCAAGUCGAACGAGAAAGUGGAGCAAUCCAUGAGUACAGUGGCGACCGGGUGAGUAACACGUGACUAACCUGCCCUCGAGUGGGGAAUAACUCCGGGAAACCGGAGCUAAUACCGCAUAACAUCGCAAGAUCAAAGUCGAAAGACGCUUGAGGAGGGGGUCGCGGCUGAUUAGCUAGUUGGUAGGGUAACGGCCUACCAAGGCAAAGAUCGGUAUCCGGCCUGAGAGGGCGCACGGACACACUGGAACUGAAACACGGUCCAGACUCCUACGGGAGGCAGCAGUGGGGAAUUUUGCGCAAUGGGGGAAACCCUGACGCAGCAACGCCGCGUGGAGGAUGAAGUCCCUUGGGACGUAAACUCCUUUCGACCCGGACGAUACUGACGGUACGGGUGGAAGAAGCACCGGCUAACUCUGUGCCAGCAGCCGCGGUAAUACAGAGGGUGCCGAGCGUUUGUUCGGAAUUAUUGGGCGUAAAGGGCGCGUAAGCGGGGG